CCUACGGGUGGCAGCAGUGAGGAAUAUUGGUCAAUGGGCGGGAGCCUGAACCAGCCAAGUCGCGUGAGGGAAGACGGUCCUAUGGAUUGUAAACCUCUUUAGGCGGGGAGCAAUGCCGGGCACGUGUGCCCGGAGGGAGAGUACCCGCAGAAUCAGCAUCGGCUAACUCCGUGCCAGAAGCCGCGGUAUUACGGAGGAUUCGAUGGUUAUCCGGAUUUAUUGGGGUAAAAGGUUGCGCAGUGGGAUUUUUAAGUCCGCGGUAAAAUGUCCGGGCUCAACCCGGGCCGGCCGUUGAAACUGGGGAUCUUGAGUGGGCGAGAAGUAUGCGGAAUGCGUGGUGUAGCGGUGAAAUGCAUAGAUAUCACGCAGAACUCAGAUUGCGAAGGUAGCAUACCGGCGCCCGACUGACGCUGAGGCACGAAAGCGUGGGGAUCGAACAGGAUUAGAUACCCUUGUAGUC
RNAcentral lists this ribosomal RNA (460 nucleotides) under uncultured bacterium. Its description in RNAcentral is "partial 16S ribosomal RNA". It matches the Rfam family "Bacterial small subunit ribosomal RNA", at positions 338 to 795 of the family's 1533-position model. The record is from RNAcentral.